CCCUAACACAUGCAAGUCGAACGGUAACAGGAAGCAGCUUGCUGCUUCGCUGACGAGUGGCGGACGGGUGAGUAAUGUCUGGGAAACUGCCUGAUGGAGGGGGAUAACUACUGGAAACGGUAGCUAAUACCGCAUAACGUCGCAAGACCAAAGAGGGGGACCUUCGGGCCUCUUGCCAUCGGAUGUGCCCAGAUGGGAUUAGCUAGUAGGUGGGGUAACGGCUCACCUAGGCGACGAUCCCUAGCUGGUCUGAGAGGAUGACCAGCCACACUGGAACUGAGACACGGUCCAGACUCCUACGGGAGGCAGCAGUGGGGAAUAUUGCACAAUGGGCGCAAGCCUGAUGCAGCCAUGCCGCGUGUAUUGAAGAAGGCCUUCGGGUUGUAAAGUACUUUCAGCGGGGAGGAAGGGAGUAAAGUUAAUACCUUUGCUCAUUGACGUUACCCGCAGAAGAAGCACCGGCUGAACUCCGUGCCAGCAGCCGCGGUAAUACGGAGGGUGCAAGCGUUAAUCGGAAUUACUGGGCGUAAAGCGCACGCAGGCGGUUUGUUAAGUCAGAUGUGAAAUCCCCGGGCUCAACCUGGGAACUGCCAUCUGAUACCGGCAACCCCGACUCUCGUAGAGGGGGGUAGAAUUCCAGGUGUAGCGGUGAAAUGCGGGUAGACGAUCAAUGGAGCAAUACCGGUAGCGAAGGCGGCACUCCCUGGACGAAGACUGACGCUCAGGUGCGAAAGCGUGGGGAGCAAACAGGAUUAGAUACCCUGGUAGUCCACGCCGUAAACGAUGUCGACUUGGAGGGUGUGCACUCGAGGCGUGGCUUCCGGAGCUAACGCGUUAAGUCGACCGCCUGGGGAGUACGGCCGCAAGGUUAAAACUCAAAUGAAUUGACGGGGGCCCGCACAAGCGGUGCAGCAUGUGGUCCAAUUCGAUGCAACGCGAAGAACCUGGACCGUGGUCUUGACAUCCACAGAACUUUCCAGAGAUGCAUUGACGCCUUCGGGAAUCCUCUCAGACCAGCUAGCUGCAUGGCUGUCGCCUAGGGCUCGUGUUGUGAAAUGUUGGGUUAAGUCCCGCAACGAGCGCAACCCUUAUCCUUUGUUGCCAGCGGUCCGGCCGGGAACCCCUCAAAGGAGACUUGCCACGUGAUAAACUGCGAGGUCAUUAGCUACCGGAUCCAGUACGUUAUCCAAGACCCUCCAUCAUGGCACUUACGACCAGAGCAUUACUCACACCGUCCGCCACGGAAUGGCGCUAGUAAUCGUCAGCGAAGCAGCAAGCUGAUGCCUCGCUGAGACCAAGUUCGGACCUUGCAUAAAGUGCGUCGUAGGCCUGCCGCCAGUGCAGUCUGCAAUCUCGAGCUCCAUGAAGGAUCAGAACUCUGGCUCAGUAAGUCGUAGAUCAGGUAAUGCCACGGUAGAAUACGAUCCCGGGCUCAGUAAGUCGUACACACCGCCCGUCACACCAUAGGGAGUGGGUUGCAAAAGAAGUAGGUAGCUUAACCUUCGGGAG
RNAcentral lists this ribosomal RNA (1509 nucleotides) under Escherichia sp. BAB-2741. Its description in RNAcentral is "bacterial SSU rRNA". It matches the Rfam family "Bacterial small subunit ribosomal RNA". The record is from RNAcentral. Lineage: Bacteria; Pseudomonadati; Pseudomonadota; Gammaproteobacteria; Enterobacterales; Enterobacteriaceae.